Molecule: long non-coding RNA, 180 nt
Organism: Carassius auratus (goldfish)
Lineage: Eukaryota; Metazoa; Chordata; Actinopteri; Cypriniformes; Cyprinidae
Exons: 3
Source: RefSeq, a predicted model, not a curated record
UAGAAGAGCAACAAGUCACACCUGAAGAUUAUGAUGACAUAAUUACUGUUGGAUUGAGACAUUAUCAUGAUGAAUUACCAGAAAACUAUGAUGAUGUCUUCAUUGUACCACAGUUUUACAAUAAUAAAGCAGAGGGUGUUAGGGGUGAAGUAUGAUAAUCUGAAGAAUGUCAGGGAAUAU